UUCCAAGCACUUCAGUAUGCAAUGAAAAUACAGCUUUUAUCGUUCUGUUUUUAUAAGACAUGCAUUAUCUAUUUUUCCAGUGGACUCCUCAUCGUUAUGUAGCAAGGUAACUUUUGAAUUAUCUAACAUUUUCUUUUAAAGUCAAUGCAUGUGUGAUCUCUAACUGUGACAGAUUCAGUCAAUUCAUCAGUUAUGCUGGACUAGCUUUUCAAGACUAGAAAAUUAGCCAGUCUGCUGUUUACCUGAUAUGGUUAUGAACAGAAAGUAAAUUUCUCUCAGUAAGUACUGAUAUAAGGCUUAGUGAAAUCUGCUUUGAGAACCCAAUUAUAUAUCCUGGCAUUCUUGGAUCUGCACCAUACAAGAUUGAUCAGAUUAAUGAGUGGUAUGAAUCACAAAAUGUGCUAUGUACAUUAUAGGAUAAUGAUUUUUUUCAUUCCCUUUAUCUUAGCUAAUUGUUGUUCUACUGUGCUCCUUGUGGGAACAGCUUCCACUGCUUCCUAUAUUACAGGGAACUUCUGUGGACAGCAGGGGAGAGGUUUGUACAAAUCCUACCAAGAACUAAGAUGUGCAGCACAGAGGGCCCUGAGGCUUGUGUAAGAAAUCUUUGUGUUUCAGCUUGAUUCAUGAUUUUGAGAUACAUACUUGUUUAAAACCUCCUGGAGACUGACAACAUCAUGUCUUUAAUUAAGAGCUAUUGGGAAGAUUCAGAAAUUUGAAUAGAUAUUUAAAUUUCCUAUUAAGAGAUCACAUUAUUUUAUGCUAGAAAGAGUAUCUUCCAAAAUAAGAAACUUCUUGAUUUUUUCUUUGGCCUGUAAGUCAAAUGUUCAAGGCCAGAGGAGACUGAAUAGCAUUUUCUGAAGUCUAAAAUUGCAGCCUUGUUCUCAGGUUAAAUUAUAUAUAUAUAUAUAUAUAUAUAUACACAUAAGUUUUCUUGUUUUGUUUGGUAGGUUGUAAUAAACACAGGUAUGCAAAAUUCAAGUAUCUGCAUUUUUUGUUUUUUCAGCCUUGUCAAAAUGUAGGUUGCUGCUUUGGUUCAGCUCAACUCAAAUGAUUUCAGUUACAACUUCCUUUAAAUCAAAGGAACAUUUUUAGGAACUGAGAGGGAAGUGGCAUAAAGUAUAUUAAUUAUUUAAACUAUUUGUGGGUGUGUUCAUCCAGUCUCUUUAUUUAUUUAUUUAUUUUUUAUUUAUUUAUGAAAAGGAGUCAGCUUUUUCUUCUUCAUGAGAAAGAAACCAAGCCUUGCCAUUUGGUUUCUGUUUCAUUGUUGGGGGUGGGUGGGUUAUUGUUAGUCUGCACUAAUGUGCAAUAACUUUUUAUGGUGAUUAGUACUUAUUGAGAAAGGGCUGAGAGACAGCACUCUUAAAAUGUUUGUCGUCAGCUCUUUCCAGGAGAUUAUUUUGGCUGAGGUUAUCAGGUAUACCUGGCAGGGCCUGGGUAGCAACGCUGCAGGUGGCACAGCCUGCUCUGAAAUGAAGCCUUGAAGGUGGCAAGCCAAGGCAGAGACACCCUGGGACACUGCAAGUGACCUCAGGCAGGGCAAGAACACAAAGAAUCAUGGAGCAGUGGAUAAAAUACAGCAAGCAGGAUGAUGGAAAAGCAGAAAGAAACCAAUCCACACAGAGCUCUGACCUCCUGCACUACCACUCUCCUCCUUGGAGAGACUCAGAGAGCUUGAAUGUGGCCACAGAAAAACAGUGCUUGUGAGAAUAGGGAAGAGGGAGAUGAUUCUUUUGUAGGAUGCUGGACAUCAUGUGAUUUUGUCUGUGACAAUGGGUAAAGAACUUUUUAUUUUACUUCAGUUUACCUUGCUGAGACAUCCAUGUGACAUCCCUCUCAUUUUUUACCUCAUCUUGUUUCCUUAUAUAAAUCCUUAUUUGAAUCCAUAGGGCUCUAAGUCUUCCCUAGGUGUGUUUUUACAAAAGGUUUUUCUUUCUUCAAGUGAUGUACAUAAAAUAUCCAGUGUGCACUUUGAUUUGCUGCUUCCUAUGUGAUGAUGAAUGAUCAAACCAGCAUUUUUAUGAUUAAAAUUAUAAUACAAAAAAUGCAUUUAAUUGCAGUGACUUAUAAAUUUGAGAAUAUUUUGCCUGAAGAUGUUGUUUAUGUAGAAAGACACUGUUCAUAGGUUAAAGGUUUUAAAUGUACUUAAAGUAGCAAAUCUGACAGUAGAUAUCUAAAUUAGUUGAAUUUUCUUCUCACCCAGUUCUAAUAACUGAAUGGAUUAUGCUACUAAAAUGCAAAUAUUCCAGUUAAACUAGAAAUCUCACAAGCAUUUUGACAAUUCUGUUUUAUAAUGCUAUACUAUAACAGAUAAAGAAAGAUUGAACUGUUUGAAGUAUUGAGAAAUUCCAUAUUUUUAAUCUAGAAUUCCCCUCAUUUUGGAACUGUACAAGGGAAAAAGUUUUGCUUCUGUUAUUGUCAUUAGUAAUAGCAUUCUUAUAAUUUCUGUUUGCUCAUCUUUGUAUGGUUCUCCACUCCUUUUCUAUUUCAAUAAAAGGAGCGCACAAUAUCAUUUUACAGACUCUAUCUUGAGGAUUUGAUUUUAAUCAUUAUUGUAGCAGAUUCUGUUCUCGUUUGAACUUUUUAGCUGCACACUGCUUUUCAGAACUUCCUUUGCCAUUUGUUUCAAAUUACUUUUCUUUUCUAGCUGAUAAGCUUUGUUUGUGGUUGACUUUUAACACUUGAUUAUACCCUGAGCAAAGUCUGAACACUGCUUACUAAUUAAGGAGUCAGGCUGACAUGUUUCAUGAGGAGUAUAAGUACAUCUGACUUGCAUAAAAUAGCUAAUUGUUUCUGCCCUAAAAUUUAAUACUCAGGUGCUAUUCAUAUAAACUACACGUGGAAAGCCAUGCUGUUUUGAUGUCAGUGCCAAUGCUAUCUAAACAGCUAGAAGUAUCUUUUUGCUAGAGGUGCUUAUUUUAAAAGAAACCAUUACAGAUUAAGUAGAGCUGGCAGGAAAAGAUAGACACAGGGAAAACUGAGAUGGGAGGAUGUAACUUUAUUGGUUUCGUGGUAGAAAAAUAGCUGUGAGAAAAGCUCUAUGUUGAUAUACAUUUAGCCUACCUCUAUAUAACCAGCGCCUUGGGCAAGUUUACUUUCAGUCUAAAUUUUAGUGCCUUUUAUGGGGAAGGUCUUGUGAGCUUGUUCCCCUACCCCACUGUCAGGAGGGAGCAUUGCUGCCAGUAGGCAAGCCAAGCUGGGAGAGUGCUACCAGCCACAUCACCAAGACAAUUAACUCUCAGGGAUGACACAGCUCCACUGUGCUUCAGCCAACAGCUGCCAAGAGUUUGCAAUUUCUUGCUAGCAGAGAAGUUCCUGAUUUUACUUCUUUUAUCUACAUCUCAGCGGUAAAGUCAGGAAAAUUAACAUCCAUCCUUACUCAAACAUUCACUCUCAAAUAUCUGAAAUCAUUGGAGGGUGAGAGCUAUUUCUGGAGCAGAUCAUUAUCACUGGAUAUUUACCAUAUGAGUCUUUUAGACAUCCUUAUAAUUGCUAUAUCAGCAGGAUGAAUUGGUUUCAAAAUUGAAUGUGUUAGAGCAAGUAGUGAAACCUAAGCACAAGAGAGACAUGGCAUAAUCUCUUAGAUUACAGCACAGACAUAUGAGUUGGAGUGUUCCUGAGGUCUGCUAAACUAGCCGUGCUUGUCAAAGCACCUAAUUCUGAUUGAGGAUAUGAGUAGCUUGAGUAGAAAUGUUUACCUUAAUAUUAGUUCAGGACAUACAAAAUUUGCCUUGGUGCUGUUACGGUCAGUGGUGGAACAGAUGACAUCCCCUUAGGAAGAACACUAAGUGUUCUUACUUAAGUAAGACAUGUCCGUAUAAUCUAGGCUAAAAUAAAGAUGUACAAAACUAUUGUCUUUUAAAUACACUCCAUGUAGCUUUCAUGAACAAAUUCUCUCUUUUCCCUUUAUUUCUCUGGUUCCUGAUGUUUAAAUGAUCUGGCAAGCAUGAUUUCACUAGCAGUGCCUUUUAUCCUCAAACACAGCCAUGCAUCCCAGCUCAUUUGACAGUAAUUUUCUUUUUCAGGAGUUUAAUUCCAAUCCACAAUCAACAAACUGUAUAUUGUAUUCUCAUGGUUGUUAAGAAUGCUCCAAUUUUUCCUCAUAAUCUUUCUUUUAUCAGUUAAAACUGAGUACUACAGGAUUGUUCUUCACAGACUAUUAUUUCUGGUACUAGAAUCCUUCCAGCUAGUUACUACAUAUAGUACAGAUCAAUUUUUCUAGACCUGAAGAAGAAGUUACUACUGUAUGUUUCCUUACUAGAGAAGGCAAUCAUCAUCAUGUAGCAGGUAUGUGCUAGACUUUCUUAAGAUAUAAAACCAGCAUAAUUUAAAGUCUGUUCAUAAGGAAAUAGGAACUUCUCAGGGCACUCAACCUGCUCCUGUGCCCUCUCUGACUUUUGACAGAGCUUCUGUAGUCUUCAGGGGGUAAUUUGCAGCAAGGAACCAUUCAUUCACAAAUAUUAAAAUCCAGUUCAUUUUAAUUACAGGAGCUUUCUGUUCAUCUUCAACGUUUUCUUUUAAUUUUAUGGGGUUUUUUAAGGGUCACCUCCUUGGCCUGUUAUUGAUAACCAGCUGGGUACUUUUUCUUGUCAUGCAAAUUUUUUAUGUAGAAAACUGUGAAGCUCACUGUUGUGAUGAACAUACCUAAGCCUGACAAAAGUUAAGAUAGUAAAAGGUUAAAGGGGCAUAAAAUAUAUUUUUUCCCCAAUAAAACCCCUCAAUUUUAAUUCUUCCCCUGGAGAAGUAAGCUUGCACCAACCCUCAUAAUCAAGUCCAGAUUCAUUAGACAUUUUCAAUAAAUGUUUUCUGUGGGAUCCUUUGCAUACCAAUGGUUGCUGUGACAACCAUAGUUUGCCCAUUCAGGUUAUUUUCCCAAAGCACAUUAAAAAAAUUAUCUUUUGCCUCCAAAAUUCCACAAUAUGUUCCGCUCUGAAAGCUGGUAUAUCUCCUUAAUUUUAGACUAUUUUAUUUCUCUUUACUCUGUUUUUCCUCUAAUAUCCUACCAACCUGCCAGACAUGCCAGGUCUAACACAUAUUCAAUGCAGUUCUACAGCUCUCUCUUUUAUAGUCAAUUCACCACAGGUAGCCUUGCUAAAAAAGUUUCCUUUCCUAAUUUUGGAUGUCAUUAAAUUUGCCAGUUCCAGUAGAGCAGAAACACCCUAACUACCUGGAAAACAUGCUUGCUUCUUUGUUCCAUUAUUUCUUUACAAAGAAGUGGAAUUCAAUUUGCUUAUUUCUGCCUCUGAAAUUUAUAAAAUAUUUCAGUAUCAGUUGAAUUGUCUCCUAAUAGGUCUGGUAUUUGAUGCUUAAAUUGAUUUGAUAGUUUUCAUUUAAACACGAGAAUAGUGCCACUGUAUCAUAAUAGGCAGCUUUCCAGAAAAGUUUAAGUUUUGGCAUAUUUCUCUGAAUUGUUUUUCACAUUUCAAAUAUGCUUAAAUAAGACAUGUCACGCUAAAAUAAAUGUGUACAAAACUAUUUUAUUUUAAAUAUAGGGUAUGUAGCUUUCAUGAACAAAGCCUCUAAUAAAAUAUGAAAUGUCAAUACCCACUUUUCCACUCUGCUGAACCUAAAAAUAUUGACAGUUUAGGUUAUUCAAGUCUAUGACCUUUUGAAUUUCCUUUCCCUCACCCCACCCCCAAAUGAACACCAACAUUUCAAAAGCUCAGGCUUUUAUAGGUUUCCUGUUCAGAUGAACUUAUUAUAAAUCACCUAUACCCACUUGUCUUUCUCUAGCAGGGAAUAUAACCUGAAUUAUGCAGUGCUAUCAGUGUCUGAAGUGGUCAAGUACAUCCUUUGCUUUUCACCAUGCAAUGAAUGUACUUACUAUUUCAAGUUUUAUCGAAUAAAUCUCUUCUAAUCUGCCUUGCCAUUAAAUGAGUCUAUUCUCUUAAAAGCCUCUAGUGGUGCCAGUUAACCUUCCUACCCUCUAAGGGCUAUGGACCUUUCCCUGUCCAAGAUUCCCGACAACUCUUUGAACAGAGCUGGUACAAGAUGACAGCUCUCAAUGUGUUUGCCCCUUCCAGUGGCACACCACUGCACACUGCCUGUCUCUCAGCACCUCCUGCUUGCUGUUCCUGCAGCUGCCCUUCCCUUGGACCUACAUGUGCAGUGUGCCCGUGGCAGCUGUUUGCUUUGAUCUGCGCUGGCACAGGUUUAACACAGCAAUAUCCCAUAAGUCUAGUGCAAGAGUGGCAUUAUUACCAGGGGGCUGGAGGAGUCAGAUGAGAUAAACUAACAGAUGCUACUGGAAGCAGAACCUUUUAAUACAAAAUGCCCAUCCUUAUACAGCUGUACAGAGAAAGCUUUGCGUAAAACACUUCCACUUCCCACAUUGUUUUUUAUUCUUGCCUUGGAGCAAUUCAGAGGCAUGCAGAAGCUUUUUUUUAAAUGUUGCAUGAUGAAUAGCAUAACUUGGAUGCUUCCAGAUGAUAUGAAUUAUUUUGAAAUGCUUGCUUUACAAAAUAACAUCAAAAGAUUAUGAACCUUCUGAUCAUGCCCUGUGUUUAGUUUGCAACAGGAAAAAUAUUCUAAAUAUUUCACCACCUUUGUGUGUAUGUAAUCAACCCUAUCUGUUGGCAAUAAAAUACAUUGAAUGUAUUACAUAUGAAUGUAACUCAGAGCUUCUGCUAUGAAACAUCUCUUCUAUUCCUCUCUAUAUUACGUGUUCUAGAAAUGCAGUGUCCUUAUUUGGGGUUGGACUAGAUGUUCUUUAAAGGUCCCUUUUAACCCCAACCUUUCAAUGAUAAUUAUUACUUUAUUUCUUUUCAUAUUAGCUAAGCUGCUAAGAGUUUCUUUUUACUUUUAACAUCAUCUUUCUAUCCUGCAACAUCUUUAUCAUAAUUAGAAAGUUAUUUUGCGUUCUUCCCCUACCUAGCACCUCAUAAUAGCAUAAUCCUUCAUUUUUGUUCUGGCUAGUAAAAAUCUGCUGUUAACUAGGGCAACAUGCCUCUGACUUCUCUGCUCUAAUACAUAGAAAACCUUUCAUGUGAAAUGUAACUUUUUCUUGUCUGUAUUUAUUCUAACAAGCUUCAUUUUUUUCUUUAUGAAUUAUGACAUAUUAACACCUAUUUUCUCAUUGAAUUAGAGUUAUUACACUGCAGAGCUCCCAGUCUGAAAACUAUUAUAGAUUCUACAUCAAAUCCUACCAGUUAUUAUGGCUGUAAUACUACCACUGUGUAUUUCUUGCUGUUACCAGGUAUUUUGGGGAAAGCUCUACAAGUUUUUUUAGUGGUUGUUAAUAAAUUAAUCAAACAUAAUCUUCAAAUGAAACUUUACAUGCAGAUACCUGUGUUUUAUGUAUUAUAGCUCACUUGUGUUCUUCACUGUCUAAUCUAAAUCCAUGUUGUAUAUUGCAAAUUGUACUCACGGGGAGCUGCAGUUUAAGUUAUGCUAUCCUAUACAGCAACAAAAGACUGAAAAAGUCAGCUGAAAAACAGCUCUUCACUAAUUGCUGUACAGUUAAACUACAAAAAGCUGUAGCCCCUUAGUAAAAUUAUUUUUAAAGUGAUCAUUCUGCUAGUUUAAAAGCUCUAAUGAUCAACCACAGGCGGAUGAGUUCUUCCCAACUGGAUUCCCAGAUAAUAAGAUGCAAUUGUGUUUUCCUGACCCAGAAUUUUACUUUCUAUUUCUUUUUUCUCACUGCUAUUGGCAUAUAAUUUGGAAGGACUCCAAGAAUGUGUUGAUCUUUUAGAUUUUCUGGUUAGUCAUGUUUGCCAUUUAUUUUUAAAUGAUAAUGUAUCAUUAAUUUUUUGCUUACUUUUUUCUGGCAUGCUUCUCAACAAAUGAGGAACUGUCCAAAGAAAACAUAUGGAACAACUUUCUUCACAAAUCUGAGGUCUUAAAACACAAGAUAUUAGCAAAUAUUGUCUAAUGUUUAUUGCAGGCUAUCUCUUCACUUCAAAAUCCAAGACAAAAUGUAGAGAUUAAUAGAUAAUUUAAGGCUAUGUAUAUAUAGUAUGAGAAGUCUCUGGAAUGUCAAAUUUCAGUUCUAGUAAAAAAGAAGUGGCUGAACCUGUGACUUUUGAAACCCACUGGACGCUCUGAAGUGAGAAUGGUAUGGAAAGCCUGAGUUUAACCUCCAUUGUCAAUCAAAUUACCAAAACCAGAAGAUAUAUGGUAGCACAAACAACUUCACAGAAUCACAACUGAACCAUAAGAGGAAUUUCUCCAAUCUUUCCAGGAGUCAUGGGAUCAAGAGUGACAAGUGUAUUUUUCUAAUGAAAGUUUGCUAAACUUACUCAUAAAUUAUCACUUCCUUUCCACUGAGUAACUUUUUGCAACUACUAUUGAAUUAUUUUGCUUAUUGCCUAAACAGUCUGACUGAACAUGAUCACAUUAGCUUCACAUUUUUAACUCCUUUUUAUAGUUUUGAAAUAUUAAAUUGUUUAAAACGUUUUGAAUUACAGGAGGUACUCCACUGACUAGAUUUAUCAGGAACUAAAAGUCUAGCAUGAGAUAGCACACUUUGUUGGCUCCUGUUGACUCUGCAAUGUAAUUUGACAGGAAAGACAAGUGAAGGAUCUCCUCUGAGAUUUGUGCCACUACAUAAGGCAGCCUUGCUGAAAUGUGCAAAGGAAAAAACCAAACAAACUUACUUUAAGGCUAUUAAAUCUGUCAGAAAUUUGGUGGGUUGGCUUGAAAGUGACUAAAUUGUAACACUUUUUUUUUCAGUUUAUAUCAUCUCACUCUAUUCCUCGUCAUUUUCCUUGUCAGUUUUAAUGCAGAUGAAAAUAAAUUCAGCCAAAACAAGUGUUUUCAAUGUUCUCAGAGUGAAAUCUUGAAUCUAUGAAUAGAACUAGAGGUUAAAAGUCACCAUCAUGACUUUCUUUGUGCCUUCUGUUAAUAAUUUAAAUUCCUUAAUAUAUUUAUUCUUCAUUUAAAGAUUUCUAAAAAUAUUAAGAGACUAGAGGCCUAGGUAUUUUUCUUUACAUAGUACUACAACUUUAAAAAUAUUUAUUCAUUUAAACUAGUUUGGCUUUGGCUUGCAAUGUGCACUUUUGUAGUUAUAAGCUGAAAUUCCAAUUAAUCUCUUUUAUAUUGUCCAUAAAAUCCCUGAAAGAAAGAAAUAAAUUACUUUUAGCUUUCUUCUCAGUAAACUGAUUUUAUUGGUUCAGCCCUUCAUUUUUUUUCCUUGACUUUUCCUAUUAUUUUAGAUUGUGGUAGAGAACAGAGAUCAGGAAAAGUCAUUAAAACUAGUCAGAAAGAAAGUGAUUAUGAAAACCUGACUUAGUUGCUGGAUUUUCUUCACUAACAUGGGCUUCUAAUGAGUGUGUUUAAUAUGCUUAAAGCUGAUGCUGUCACUGCUUCCAGCAUCUUUCCACCUGCAAUCUGCUAUGCAGUCUGAAACAAAAUCAAACAGUGUAGACAAGACUUCUUGGAAUUUCUUGGAGUGUUAUCAAAAUGGAAAGAAAGCCUCUUACUAAAUUUUACGGAAACCAUAUAUUUAAAGGACCAAUGCAGUCUUCAUGGGAUCUCUUGGAUUAUUAAAAAGAACCAAAAAAACACCAAAGCAAACAACCAAAUGAAAAGCUACAACCUCUGGAGACACACAAGUGGGCAAAAGGAUUGUGUUAAUACUUUUUAGCUAGUGUAUAGCAAAGAAAUUAGAGAAGGCAGACAUCCUGAAGGAGAAUGGAGAGUUUACAUUCUCCCUUGAGGAUCUUGCAGCAGUGGAGUUGCUGUAAAAAAUUAUCUUCGUUUUAUGGAGGCCUGAUCUUUGUGGGAUGUUGCUUGGGGAAUUAAUUAAAUAUUUUAUUUCUAUUCUGCUGCUCAGAUUCCCCUUCCUUUAUUGCCAAAUAAGUUAACCUUUGCUACGGUGUUGAACCUCUCAUGAGGACAUUGCUAGGGGAAGAAUUUUAGCUGAUUUUUCUUGCCAAUUUAGUUGACAGGUAUGAGCAGACAUAGAACAUGGUAAAGGUCCAGAACCAAAUUUAAUCUACUGAUUUAACUUCAUUUGCCAGUUAAAAAAUUAAGUAUGAUUUGCCAUCUUGAAAGUUGGGACGAAUAUCUCUUGAUGAUAGAUUACUGAAUUGUUUUCCCAUUUUGACAGACAGCUAGCCUUGUUGAACUACAUGAGGUCCCUCUGGAUGCCAUCCUUUCCCUCCAGAGCAUCAAUUGCACCACUCAGUUUGGUGUCACUGGUGAAUUUGCUGAGAGUGAAGUCAGUCCCACUGUCCAUGAUGCUGACACAGAUAUUUAACACUGCUGGUCCCAGUGCCAGCCCCUGAGGAGCACCACGUGUCACUGAUCUCCACUUGGACAUUGAGCCAUUGGCCACAACUGCUUGAUUGUGACCAUCCAACCAAUUCUUUAUCUAGGGAGUGGUCUGUCCAUCACAUUCCUGUCUCUCCAGUUUAGAGACAAGGAAGUCAAUGGGAUUUCAAACAGCUCUUGUAUUUGAAAGCAUAAUGACUUUUGUCCCAGACUCUGCUUGCUUCAGAGUUGAGUUUUUCCUCAGAGUUAAAAAAAAUUAAGGUAUGGUACAAUAUGCAGUACAUGAGCUAUAACCAUCUCACAGAAUUCCUCAGGGCAAAGUUACCUACACAAUGCAGGUAAGGGGCUGGGAUUUUUUAAUUGCUAAUUCUUAGAACUUUUCAAUUUAACAGAGGGAGGGGGAAAAAACUCUGCUAGUCAACUGUAUAUGUGCCACCUGGGAAUAACUUCAAUACACAGCUAUAUUACCUUCUCCUUCAAAUUAAAAUCCAUUUUGACUUCGUUUGUACUUUUAUUUAAACUGAGACAAAAAAAAUCCCAGGCUUGUCUCUACUAAUGUGUAUUUCUUAAAAAAAAAAAAAAAUUCAAUUCUUAUCUAGGAAUAGAAAAAUAUUUGUACAUAUAACCAGCAUAAAAGUCUGAAUAGCACAAAGUUUUCCUGUCCAGAAAAUCUUAUUCUUUCUCUCUUUUUCUCUCUCUCAAGUAUGAUCUGAGAAUUUCAUUUCCAUAGAAUGUGUCUUCACCUGCAGAUUUACAGGCAAAAUUUUCAUGUCCCAUGUAUUGUUAGAGCAGAAUUUAUUUUUCUUCAAAAAAAAAAAAAUUAAAAAACCAAGAGGUAUAGUAAUAGGAGAUAACCAAGAGAUAAAUGGUACCACAGGGGGGGGAAAGCACAAAAUAGGUCUAUAGCAAUAGUUUCUGACUGUUAUCAGACUGCACUUGAACAGUCUGCUAACAAGCUGGAAAAUGAAGAAGGGGCCUGGAGGUCACAUCCAACUUCAGCUUUUUACUCUGCAGUGAAUGGUCCUGUGGGAACCCAUUGGAUCUCAAAAGACAGCUGAUGGCUCAAAGUGUCAGGUUAAAAAUGAGUACAAAUAUGAAGGCUGGACAAAAGCUCUGAGAUCCUGCAAGAGUUGUUUACAGUUGCACAGACAUGACACAGAAAAAAAAGAUAUGUCUUCAAGCCUCCAAACACAAAGGAAAUCAUAGACCACACACAACUGCAGAAAUUCAAGGUAGACACUAAUUUUACUUGUAACAAUGAUGUUUUGCUUCUAGGAGCAAUAUUUUUUAAACUAUGAAACUGCACUUUGUACAGUAACUUCUCCAGUGCAAGGCUGCAUA
This is a long non-coding RNA of Passer domesticus (house sparrow), 11550 nucleotides long. RefSeq lists it as uncharacterized. NCBI's taxonomy places the organism in Eukaryota, Metazoa, Chordata, Aves, Passeriformes, Passeridae. The transcript has 3 exons. The record is from RefSeq and is a predicted model, not a curated record.